AACGAACGCUGGCGGCAGGCCUAACACAUGCAAGUCGAACGCCCCGCAAGGGGAGUGGCAGACGGGUGAGUAACGCGUGGGAACGUACCCUUCGGUUCGGAAUAACCCGGGGAAACUCGGGCUAAUACCGGAUACGUCCGCAAGGAGAAAGAUUUAUCGCCGAAGGAUCGGCCCGCGUCGGAUUAGCUAGUUGGUGGGGUAAUGGCCCACCAAGGCGACGACCCGUAGCUGGUCUGAGAGGAUGAUCAGCCACACUGGGACUGAGACACGGCCCAGACUCCUACGGGAGGCAGCAGUGGGGAAUAUUGGACAAUGGGCGAAAGCCUGAUCCAGCCAUGCCGCGUGAGUGAAGAAGGCCUUAGGGUUGUAAAGCUCUUUCAGCGGGGAAGAUAAUGACGGUACCCGCAGAAGAAGCCCCGGCUAACUUCGUGCCAGCCCGCCGCGGUAAU
This 449-nucleotide ribosomal RNA is filed under the name uncultured bacterium. Its description in RNAcentral is "bacterial SSU rRNA". It matches the Rfam family "Bacterial small subunit ribosomal RNA", at positions 29 to 524 of the family's 1533-position model. The record is from RNAcentral.